AGGUGGAGUUUAAAAUUUUUAAAAAUAAAUAAAUUCAUAUUACAAUUUUAAAAAUAGUUUCAGAAAAUAUUUUCGAAUUUCAAAAAGAAAAUUAAGAAAAAAAAUUCGAAAUUUUUUAAUAAAAAAAUUGGAAUUUAAAAACAUAUAAUUCAAAACUAUAAUUUUUUAUUAUUAUUUAUUUAUAUUUUUAUAUCUAUAAGACAACAAGUAGAAUGAUCUUUUGACGAUUUAAUAAAAUUUAUUUUGGUUAUUUUCUUAUUUGUGAACUCUUUUGGUGACAAAAAUCUUAAAAUUGGCUAUUUGAGAUAAUUGUCUAUUGCAUUAUAGAAUUAACUCAUUAAGGAUAUUAACAUAACUGACUCUUUGAAAAUUAACAUGAGCACGAUAUGUAGAAAAUUGACUUCUCAAAUAGUAUUGUAGAUAUAUUUUUAACAAUAAAAUUAAAAUUGGUAAAAAAUACAAAGGAAUUUAGAGCUUAGAAUUUUUUUUUUUAAAACAUGAGACAUAGGUCACUUCAACAAACAUUAAUUCUUAGAGUUUGACGAGACAAAAGGGCAUCUUUUAUAUAUGUGACAAAAGGACAUCUUA
Molecule: long non-coding RNA, 588 nt
Filed under: Brassica napus (rape)
Lineage: Eukaryota; Viridiplantae; Streptophyta; Magnoliopsida; Brassicales; Brassicaceae
Description: long non-coding RNA (BNAP_LNC002217)
Source: RNAcentral